UCAUUCAUUCAUCCUUUGGCUGACUUGAGGACUUGAGCGGAACAGCGAGCCUUUAUUCACAGCAAGAUGACUAAGAUGUGUGUAGCUUACCUUGGAGCUCUUCUGCUGGCUCUCCAUCUCCAUCUCAUCUCAACACAGACUACGGGCGGCACCACAAAGGCGCCAAUGAGCGAUUUGACCACAAUGAGCGAUUCGACCACAAUGUCCAGCUACAACAUGACCGGGAACAUGACGGUCACCGGGAACAUGACUGGCAGCAUGAAAGGCGGCUGCGGGAGGACCGACGUCUCCGCGCUGCUGCUCCCGCUGGCGGCUGCAGUCUCUCUCCUGCUGGGUUGGUCCUAAUGACCGGACUGCUGGCUCUUCGCACACUGCCAAGACGACUGGACUGGGCACGCAAGAGCAAUUCUAUAAAGGUCCCUUCUCUCCCAAAAAUCCUGGAUUUUACCAAAUCCUCUUCUGUCUUCACUCUUUCUGGAAUUGGCUUUGAAAGGAGCGCGCUCUUUUACGCACCAACCGGGGACGCGCCCUGCUGCUCGACGUUAUGUCUUGCUGGUUUUGCAAGGACUACGAAGGUUCCUCUUGUCCGGGAAAACACCGGCCUCUUGGUUUGGGCCGUUGUCUUCUGUGGGAGACAGUUUGCGGCAAGUAUAACUCUCAUACCCCAUAACUCUCAUACAUCUGCUUCAUGAGACGCGGCCAGCUCUUUAUUCAGGUGGGCCACUUUUCUCUCAAAUUCCAUGUUGUCUAUCAGAUUUUUUGGGACUUUUCCAUCAGAGUGAGCUUUGUGUUCUCGUCAAACAGCACAUGAUUCAAGUUCUGAUUCUUGAUACCAGGCUCCACAGGCUGCAAAGUGAUUGUAAACCCAUCAAGAAAAUUUUGUAUUAUGAAAAUUGAAAUUGUGUGUAAAUGUGAUUUUAAAUCUUUAAUUUUGUAAGUCAAAUAAAGCUUUAAAUUGUAAGUGA
Long non-coding RNA from Centropristis striata (black sea bass), 965 nucleotides. RefSeq lists it as uncharacterized. The record is from RefSeq and is a predicted model, not a curated record. Lineage: Eukaryota; Metazoa; Chordata; Actinopteri; Perciformes; Serranidae. The transcript has 2 exons.